RNAcentral lists this long non-coding RNA (22883 nucleotides) under Triticum aestivum (bread wheat). RNAcentral's name for it is "long non-coding RNA (TAES_LNC016857)". Lineage: Eukaryota; Viridiplantae; Streptophyta; Magnoliopsida; Poales; Poaceae. The record is from RNAcentral.
ACAUAUUGAACUUUUUCUACGUUUCAUUUAUGUGUUGAUGAUAUAACACCUGUUGAACUGCUACACCAUAGCUAAAAAUCUAUCCAUGUGAACUAUUUACUUUUUUCAUUUAACUUUUAUCAAUCAACAUACAUCAUUUUCCUUCCUGUUCAUACACGUAUUGCAGACAUUACAUACACAUACAUAGCUCCACGAUCAUACACAAUUUUCUCCUGUAGCUUCUCCUCGCUUCCCUUAACACAAACAAUCAUUUGGAGAGAAAAGCACAAUGGUUUUAGAUACAAAAAUCACCCCCACAAGAUAAUAUUGUAAAUACUAUCCUUAAAAGAAAGCAUGAAGAAUGCAAAAGUUCAUGGUAGAACCAAACCUAAUUAGGAAGGCUCAUCAAUCUCUUUAGGUAUUCAUCCCUCUUAGUAUUAUCAGAUUCAGCUUGAAUCAUGUGAGCAACCUGAACAGUGAGCACAAAGGCACAAAUUAUAUCAGAUUGGCUUGAAUCAUCUGCUAGCGUGAACAUUGAGCACAAAAGGGACAAAUGGUAGUACAAGUGAUAGCCUAUCCUGGCUCAAUUUGAAUCUGAUGCGGCUCAAGAUCAAGAAUUGUCGUAGCAAGGUUGGUGAGCAGUUCAGAAACAAAUGGUUCGUUCUCGCCCACCUGGGAAAUAGAAGGAAAUACAAAAUAAAUGGGCACGUAACCGGUGAGUAUGGUAUAGUAUAAAUGUGAUGAUGUGUGUCUAAAUUGAGUUACCCACAUGCAUUCAAGUAAUACAUAACUAUAAAUAAAUCAAAAGUUUAUCAAUUCACAUAUAGAAUUGAAGACAAAAGCAAUGUGAUUAAUGAAUCUACCUGUUGUGUCACAAACUUGCGCUUGCAUUUCUGAACAAUUUUCAGGAAUGUAUCACACGCCAUAUCCUGCAACAAGCAGUGUGUUACAUACAUUACAUACAGUAGGUAGGAAAUGUAGCAGUUGAAGAGGUACUUAAAACUUUCUGCAAAUGCAGAGGGAAGCACAACUAUGCACAGCAACAAAAAUAGAAGCAGCGGACUGUAGGUGACCACAAAUACUAAUAAUAUACUCUCUACAAGCCAUAUUACUUGUCGCAGCUUUAAUACAGCAUUAGUAUGUUCUAAAUUUGUACUAAAGCUGCGACAAGUAAUAUGGAUCGGAGGGAGUACGUGUUUCACACUACAAGAACUUUCCUGUUCCAACUGAAGAAACUACAUGUAAAUGCAUCACUGACCUGAACUCCAGGAUGCAUAUCAUGCAUGAACUCAAAUAAUUUGUUGACUACUGUCUUCAGAAACUUCCAAUGAGCCCUGAGAAAUCUUGGGUACUGACCAACCACAUACCUAUUAAUUCAAAUAUUGGAUCAGCAAAGAUAUUCUUUUGAUAAUUCCAAACAUGUGAGAAUUGAAGCAAACGCGCACAUGAUGUUACUCGCAAUAACAGCUUUGUUGUCUUUCCCCUUCGUGAUUUCAUAGAGAUUUAGCAAAUCACGAAUAACCAUCACCAAGAAUUUGUUCUCCUGCAAUGUGAAGUGAAGUUACUAAAGCGCCAAGUUCUCCACAAGCAUUUAUCGAAACCAAAUAAAUGAGGGUAAUGACAGUGAACAAACCUGUUCCUCCACCAUACUACCAGAUAUUGAUCCAAUAGCCCAGCAUAGAGUAUUGAGGUUAUUCCAACUUCAGUCUUCUCCAUUCAAUUGCUUAGUUAAUUUAUUCAACAUCUGGAAUAACAAAAGAAGUGUCAGAGUUGCAGCUUAAAUUCAGAAGGGCAGUAAAUAGAAAACAUAAGCAGGGAAACAGAGAAGAGGGCUCUAGUAGCAGCACGACACCAACGCCAUGUUUUUGGAAGGGCAAUGACAGUCAACAUCUUAUAGCCCCCUAUUUAGUACACCGCAAGCUACCACAUAUGUACUAACUAUAGUGAUGUAUUUGUACUGCCCAAAAACACACCUGCAAGAUGAACCAAAGGGGAGCUACACCACCCGCAAAAUGAACUGAAAAUGCCGACUAAGGCAACAUGAAGCAAGAUGUUGAACUGAAUAUAGCCAAGAGAAGGAGAUGAACGUACGGGGGGAGGUGGGGAAAAGCGGGCACCUACCGAGCUACAACGUAGAACGGCUUAGCGUUGUGUUGCUGAAUGACCCAGGGUGGCGGUUGUGAAUAGCCGGUGCGCUGCAACGAUAGAAUGAGCAAAGCAUAAACCAGUGCAUCAAUUGCCUCAAUCAACAACAACAGACAUGAAACAAUGGAAUGAGCAGAGCACAAACCAGUGCAUCAAGUGCCUCAAUUCCCAGGGACCAGUUCGGCGUUUAAUAACAACUAUGUUCGUCUAGCCACCCGUUUAGCUUUUGCUGUAACAAAAAGCACACAUUAAAAAGCUUUUACUGGCAUGGGGAAGCCUUCUUCCCUGAUGCUAAUGACCAAUUAGUACUGGUAAAGGUAAAGGGAAUCGAAACACCAUCACCACGAUGGUCUUUGUCAGGUAGAGAUGAAGUAGCAUCAGCAAUUACCAGUGUGGAGCAGUAGCAGGAGUGAGAUUCGAGAGGAGCAACAGCAGCAGAAGUGAGAUUUGAGAGGAGCAGAGCAGCACCCGUGCGAGAGAGAAAGCAGAGGAGAGCAGCAGAGUGCACAUGUUAGAAGAGGCCAUAGCUGUUCAAGUGAGGAUGCUUGGCAGUUCAAGGUCACCGCGUCUGGCUGUCAGAGGCCUCGCCGGAAUUGGUUGGAUGCUGCGACCAGGAGGGCGAUGGGGAUCGUGAGGCCAAGAGGAGGGAGGAGGUGGGUCGAUGAAGAAUCAGAGUGUGUCUCGGAUCUGGCCGUCGACGAGCAGCCGGCCUAGCUGUGGAGGUCGUCGUCAUUGGGAAGAGAGAGGGGGAGGGGAGGGGCACGAAUGGCCNNNNNNNNNNNNNNNNNNNNNNNNNNNNNNNNNNNNNNNNNNNNNNNNNNNNNNNNNNNNNNNNNNNNNNNNNNNNNNNNNNNNNNNNNNNNNNNNNNNNNNNNNNNNNNNNNNNNNNNNNNNNNNNNNNNNNNNNNNNNNNNNNNNNNNNNNNNNNNNNNNNNNNNNNNNNNNNNNNNNNNNNNNNNNNNNNNNNNNNNNNNNNNNNNNNNNNNNNNNNNNNNNNNNNNNNNNNNNNNNNNNNNNNNNNNNNNNNNNNNNNNNNNNNNNNNNNNNNNNNNNNNNNNNNNNNNNNNNNNNNNNNNNNNNNNNNNNNNNNNNNNNNNNNNNNNNNNNNNNNNNNNNNNNNNNNNNNNNNNNNNNNNNNNNNNNNNNNNNNNNNNNNNNNNNNNNNNNNNNNNNNNNNNNNNNNNNNNNNNNNNNNNNNNNNNNNNNNNNNNNNNNNNNNNNNNNNNNNNNNNNNNNNNNNNNNNNNNNNNNNNNNNNNNNNNNNNNNNNNNNNNNNNNNNNNNNNNNNNNNNNNNNNNNNNNNNNNNNNNNNNNNNNNNNNNNNNNNNNNNNNNNNNNNNNNNUGUGGCGUCGCCGGGAUCCAGAUGGGGGAGAAGGUGGGGGGCUGGCCAUCGCCGGGAUCCAGCCGGAGAAGGUGGAUUUGGGGGGAUGCGGGAGAGGGUGGGCUGGGGUUCUUUUAUUCCUUCGGGCGCCACCGAUUCGGAUAGUACAGAUCAGGCCCUAUAGGAGACCGAGGGUAACAGAAUAUUAUUCUGUUACCGGUAACAGAAUAGCUCUGUCCUAUAUAUAUAUAUAUAUAUAUAUAUAUAUAUAUAUAUAUAGGACAAAUGUUUCGUACAAGCAGUGGUAGUUACCACCACUUGCGUUUUGUAUGUUGUAUGUAGUAUCUGUCGAAACCGAAAGUAUGUAUGUGUAGUAUGUAGUAUAUAAUAAUGAUUAGGUAGUAUAUAUACUAAUUUUUAGGUAGUAUGUACCAUUUUUUGAGUAUGCUCUUUUUUACAUGUAAAUAUGUACGUAUUUCACAAAUAUAUCAAAAACUAUGGGCUCAUAUGCAAUUUUUUCACGUAACUUACUUUGAAAUAGCUUAGAUAUAGUAUAUGAACAUAUUUAAAAUAAUAAAUUAGUAUAUAUAGUACCAUAUGGUAGUAUAUGAGACAUGUGGGGUAACUACCACCGGGUGGUAGGAUGGAUUUCCCCUAUAUAUAUAGAUAUAGAUAUAGAUAUAGACAUAUAUAUAUAUAUAUAUAAUGUGCCUCUCCGGUUUAUUCUUUGAUAUUAAUUGCUCCUUCUAACAUAACAUUAUAUAUAUAAUGAGCCCACCUAAUAUGUCUAUUUCAAGGAAGUGCAAAUGGGCUGGGAUUUCUUAGAAACUAUAAAUGGGCCUGAUUGACGCGAAAUUAUUUGUUCACCCAGCCCAGACAAUGGACUGUACAUUCUAGAAAACAUGGGUUAAAUAUAUGCCACAUUUUUGCAGGCUGACAUGUGGGCCAAUAGGUCGAAGCCUACGCAGGGCGUUGUCAACUUGGUCAACAAAUGAUUGUGUCGUCCACAGUCAUUGGAUUUAUAUCCAACGGCCGGCAUGCACCUUCAAUCUUUCGUCUUCUUCCUCCAGCGUAACCAGGACCGCCUGGUACGGCCUCCAGCGGCUAGCGGCUUUGCUUAGCAUGCAUCACUGCGAAGCGCUACCCCACCGCCGGCCAGGCUAUCCCUCCACCCCUCGACACCUCCUGUUAUUCUCCACAGACUGUAGCCCCACGCCGCAAUAGAACCAGUUAUAACCCUUCUCCUCCUCUCAAUCUGCGACUCCACUGCCGCGUCUUCCCAUCUCCGAGUCGUUCCCGUCCGGGGCCUCGCCAUCAUCCACCGCCUCGCUGCGCUCGGUGCGGCGUGGUCAACAAACGAGAGUCAUCAGAAGAGGACUGUACAUGGAGAGCCUGACGGCUGGGACCCACGAGGUCCAUGGUCGCAUGCAAGGAAAGUUCCUCCUUAUUAAGUUGAAAAAAAUGUUUCCUCCACCUGACAGCUAGGACCCACCGGCUGUAACUUCGCACGGAAGGAAGUGCCUACCUGUUUUGCAAAAACAUUAUUCAUCCCGUUGACAGCUGGGACCCGUCAGAUAUGGUGGCUGACUUGUGGGCCUACUAAGCGGACGUGUAUGCACGGCUUUGUCAACUUAAUCAACAAAUGAUUCUAGCAGCUGGACCGUUGGAUGUUAAUCCAACAACCGUGCUCCUUCUUCAACCUCUGUUCUUUGCUCCUGUCUCUCGUGGGCGGCACCGCGGUUGUGCUGCCGCACACCCGAACCAGUGAAGUUUCCCACUCCUCUCCAUCUGCGACUUCACUACCCCAUCUUCCCCUUCUCCGGGUCGUUCCAGUCUGGGUGCGCUCGGCACGGUGUGGUCAACAUGGUCAACAACCGAGAGUCAUCGGAAGAUGACUGUACAUGAGAGGCUGACAGUGGGGACGCACCACGCCCAUGGAUGCAUGCAUGCAACAGAACGCGGCGUGGUCAACAUGGUCAAGGAACGACUUCCAUCGGAAGUAUACUGUACGUGGAGAGUCUGACAGCUGGGUCCACGGCCGCAGCAAGGAAGCGCCUCCUUAUUACGCGGAAAAUAAUAAUUCCUCCAACUGACAGCAGGGACCCACUGGAUCGGCCACCGUAUUUUGCGGAAAAAAAUGUUUGCCCCUGACUGGUGGGACCCACCUGAUGGGCCACCGUAUUUCAUAAAAACAUAUUCCCCCCGCUGUCAGCUCGGACACACCAGAAGUGCCUCCUUAUUAAAAAGAAAAAAUGAAUACUCCCCCUGCUAGCUAGGACCCACCUUGGUGGGAGGCUGACUUGUGGGCCCACUAAGUUGACAGGGACGGAGGGCUUUGUCAACUUAGUCAAUGUGAACGAUUCUAACUGCAGUGAUCGUACGAUGUCCAUCCAACGACCAUCGUGCUUCUUCAACCUCUGGUCUUCUUGAUCCAGCCGCGCAAAGCAGCGCCGAUCGUGCCGCCUGCUCCUGCCUCCCGUGACCGGCUGUGAUGCCGCGGAGGCCUCACCGCCCCCUACUACUCCCGCCGCUGGCCAAGCCAUCCCUCCACUCACCCACAUGUUGGAAAUAUGCCCUAGAGGCAAUAAUAAAUUAGUUAUUAUUAUUAUAUUUCCUUGUUCAUGAUAAUCGUUUAUUAUCCAUGCUAUAAUUGUAUUGAUAGGAAACUCAGAUACAUGUGUGGAUACAUAGACAACACCAUGUCCCUAGUAAGCCUCUAAUUGACUAGCUCGUUGAUCAAUAGAUGGUUACGGUUUCCUGACCAUGGACAUUGGAUGUCGUUGAUAACGGGAUCACAUCAUUAGGAGAAUGAUGUGAUGGACAAGACCCAAUCCUAAGCCUAGCACAAAGAUCGUGUAGUUCAUAUGCUAAAGCUUUUAUAAUGUCAAGUAUCAUUUCCUUAGACCAUGAGAUUGUGCAAAUCCCGGAUACCGUAGGAAUGCUUUGGGUGUACCAAACAUCACAACGUAACUAGGUGGCUAUAAAGGUACGCUGUGGGUAUCUCCAAAAGUGUCUGUUGGGUUGGCACGAAUCGAGACUGGGAUUUGUCACUCCGGUUGACAGAGAGGUAUCUCUGGGCCCACUCGGUAGGACAUCAUCAUAAUGUGCACAAUGUGACCAAAGGGUUUAUCACGGGAUGAUGUGUUACGGAACGAGUAAAGUGACUUGCCGGUAACGAGAUAGAACAAGGUAUCGGCAUACCGACGAUCGAAUCUCGGGCAAGUAUAAUACCGCUAGACAAAGGGAAUUGUAUACGGGGUCGAUUGAGUCCUUGACAUCGUGGUUCAUCCGAUGAGAUCAUCGUGGAACAUGUGGGAGCCAACAUGGGUAUCCAGAUCCCGCUGUUGGUUAUUGACCGGAGAACGUCUCGGUCAUGUCUGCAUGGUUCCCGAACCCGUAGGGUCUACACACUUAAGGUUUGAUGACGCUAGGGUUAUAGGGAAUAUAUAUAUACGUGGUUACCGAAUGUUUUUCGGAGUCCCGGAUGAGAUCCCGGACAUCACGAGGAGUUUCGGAAUGGUCCGGAGGUAAAGAUUUAUAUAUGGGAAGUCCUGUUUUGGUCACCGGAAAAGUUUCGGGUUUUAUCGGUAACGUACCGGGACCACCGGGAGGGUCCCGGGGGUCCACCAAAGGGGGUCCACCAAGUGGGGCCAUCGGCCCUAGAGGGCAGCAUGGGCCAAGUGUGGGAGGGGACCAGCCCCAGGUGGGCUGGUGCGCCCCCCCCCACAAGGGCCCAAGGCACCUAGGGUUUGGGGAGGGGUGCUUCCAUCUUACUUGGGGGGCAAGUUUACCCCUCCCCCCCCUUGGUCGCACCCUAGAUGGGGAUUGGGGCUGCCGCCACCCCUAUGGAGGGAACCCUAGGUGGGGGCGCAGCCCUCCCUCUCCCCCUAUAUAUAGUGGAGGCAAAGGGGCAGCCCAACACACGAAGUUCUUCUCCUGUUGGGCUGCCCUACCUCUCUUUCUCCUCCUCUCCUGCGGUGCUUGGGGAAGCCCUGCAGGAUUGCCACGCUCUUCCACCACCACCGUGCUGUUGUGCUACUACUGGAUGGAGUAUUCCUCAACCUCUCCCUCUCUCCUUGCUGGAUCAAGGCAUGGGAGACAUCACCGGGCUGUACGUGUGUUGAACGCGGAGGUGCCGUCCGUUCGGCACUAGGAUCUCCGGUGAUUUAGAUCACGACGAGUACGACUCCUUCAACCCCGUUCUCUUGAACGCUUCCGCUUAGCAAUCCACAAGGGUAUGUAGAUGCACUCUCCUCUCUCUCGUUGGUAGUUUCUCCAUAGAUAGAUCUUGGUGACUCGUAGGAAAAUUUUGAAUUUCUGCUUUGUUCCCCAACAGUGGCAUCAUGAGCUAGGUCUAUUGCGUAGAUUCUUUGCACGAGUAGAACAAAAAGUAGUUGUGGGUGUUGAUUUUGUUCAAUAUGCUUACCGUUACUAGUCCAAUCUUGUUUCGGCGGCAUUGUGGGAUGAAGCGGCCCGGACCGACCUUACACGUACUCUUACGUGAGACAGGUUCCACCGACUGACAUGCACUUGUUGCAUAAGGUGGCUGGUGGGUGCCAGUCUCUCCCACUUUAGUCGGAUCGGAUUCGAUGAAAAGGGUCCUUAUGAAGGGUAAAUAGCAAUUGGCAUAUCACGUUGUGGUUUUUGCGUAGGUAAGAAACGUUCUUGCUAGAAACCCAUAGCAGCCACCUAAAACAUGCAAACAACAAUUAGAGGACGUCUAACUUGUUUUUGCAGGGUAUGCAUUGUGAUGUGAUAUGGCCAAAAGAAUGUGAUGAAUGAUAUGUGAUGUAUGAGAUUGAUCAUGUUCUUGUAAUAGGAAUCACGACUUGCAUGUCGAUGAGUAUGUUAAACCGGCAGGAGCCAUAGGAGUUGUAUUUAUUUAUUUUAUGACCUGCGUGUCAUUGAACAACGCCAUGUAAUUACUUUACUUUAUUGCUAACUGGUAGCCAUAGUAGUAGAAGUAAUAGUUGGCGAGACAACUUCAUGAAGACACGAUGAUGGAGAUCAUGAUGAUGGAGAUCAUGGUGUCAUGCCGGUGACGAUGAUGAUCAUGGAGCCCCGAAGAUGGAGAUCAAAAGGAGCAAAAUGAUAUUGGCCAUAUCAUGUCACUUUUGAUUGCAUGUGAUGUUUAUCAUGUUUAUGCAUCUUAUUUUCUUAGAACGACGGUAGUAAAUAAGAUGAUCCCUCAUUAGAAAUUUCAAGAAAGUGUUCCCCCUAACUGUGCACCGUUGCGAAAGUUCGUCGUUUCGAAGCACCACGUGAUGAUCGGGUGUGAUAGAUUCUAACGUUCACAUACAACGGGUGUAAGCCAGAUUAAUACACGCGAAACACUUAGGUUAACUUGACGAGCCUAGCAUGUAUAGACAUGGCCUCAGAACACAAGAGACCGAAAGGUCGAGCAUGAGUCGUAUAGUAGAUACGAUCAACAUGAAGAUGUUCACCGAUGAUGACUAGUCCAUCUCAGGUGAUGAUCGGACACGGCCUAGUUGACUCGGAUCAUGUAAUCACUUAGAUGACCAGAGGGAUGUCUAUCUGAGUGGGAGUUCAUUAGAUGAACUUAAUUAUCAUGAACAAAGUCAAAAACCCCUUUGCAAAUUAUGUCAUAGCUCGCGUUUUUGUUCUACUGUUUUAGAUAUGUUCCUAGAGAAAAUAUAGUUGAAAGUUGAAGUAGCAAUUAUGCAAACAGUAGAAGGCUUAUGUCCUUAAUGCACCGCUCAGUGUCCUGGACCUCGAACAUGGUAUGUGGAUGUUGCGAACAUCUGACAUACACAUUUUGAUGACUACAUGAUAGUUCGGUAAUGUUAAAUGGUUUAGAAUUGAGGCACCAAAAGACAUUUUGAAAUGUCGCAGAACAUAUGAGAUGUUCCAAGAGCUGAAAUUGGGAUUUCAGGCUCGUGCCCACGUCAAGAGGUAUGAGACCUCCGACAAGUUUUUCUAGCCUACAAACUAAGGGAGAACAUCUCAAUCGUUGAGCUUAUACUCAGGUUGUCUGGGUACAACAAUCACUUGAAUCGAAUGGGAGUUUAUCUUCCAGAUGAGAUAGUGAUGUUUCUCCAAAGACAUUGCCACCAAGCUACUAGAGCUUCGUGAUGAACUAUAACAUAACUGGGAUAGAUAUGAUGAUCCUUGAGCUAUUCGCCAAUGUUCGACACCGCGAAUGUAGAAAUCAAGAAGGAGCAUCAAUUGUUGAUGGUUAGUGAAACCACUAGUUUCAAGAAGGGCAAGGGCAAGAAGGGGCACUUCAUGAUACGACAAAUCAGUUGCUGCUCCAGUGAAGAAACCCAAGGUUGAACCCAAACCCGAGACUAAGUGCUUCUGUAAUAAGGGGAACAACCACUGGAGCAUUAUUACCCUAGAUACUUGGUAGAUAAGAAGGAUGGCAAGGUCGAUAGAAGUAUAUUGGAUAUACAUUAUGUUAAUGUGUACUUUACUAGUACUCCUAGUAGCACCAGGGUAUUAGAUACCGGUUCGGUUGCUAAGUGUUAGUAACUCGAAAUAAAAGCUACGGAAUAAACGGAGACUAGCUAAAGGUGAGCUGAUGAUAUGUGUUGGAAGUGUAUCCAAGGUUGAUGUGAUCAAACAUCGCACGCUCCCUCUACCAUCAAGAUUAGUAUUAAACCUAAAUAAUUGUCAUUUGGUGUUUGCGUUGAGCAUAGACAUGAUUGGAUUAUGUCUAUCACAAUACGGUUAUUCAUUUAAGGAGAAUAAUGUUUACUCUAUUUAUUUAAAUAAUACCUUCAAUGGUCUUGCACCUAAAAGAAUGGUUUAUUGAAUCUCGAUCAUAGUGAUACACAUUUUCAUGCCAAAAGAUAUAAGAUAGUAAUGAUAGUACCACUUACUUGUGGCACUGCCAUGUAAGUCAUAUUGGUAUAAAACGCAUGAAGAAACUCCAUGUUGAUGGAUCUUUGGACUCACUCGUUUUUUGAAAAGUUUGAGACAUGUGAACCAUGUCUAUUGAGGAUAUGCAUGAUGGAACUCCAUGCAAAUGGACCGUUUGGACUCACCUGAUUUUGAAUCACUUGAGACAUGCAAAUCAUACCACAUGGGCAAAAUGACUGAAAGCCUCGUUUUUCAGUAAAAUGGAACAAGAAAGCAACUUAUUGGAAGUAAUACAUUUUGAUGUGUGCAGUCCAAUGAGUGCUGAGGCACGCAGUGGAUAUCGGUAUGUUCUUACUUCACGGAUGAUUUGAGUAGAUACUGAGUAUAUUUACUUGAUGAAACACAAGUCUGAAUUAUUGAAUGGUUCAAGUAAUUUCAGAGUGAAGUUGGAGAUCUUCGUGACAAGAGGAUAAAAAUGUCUAUGAUAUGAUCAUAGAGACGAAUAUCUGAGUUGCGAGAUUGGUACACAAUUAAGACAUUGUGGAAAUUGUUUCACAAUUAAUACCACCUGGAACACCAUAGUGUGAUGGUGUCUCCGAACAUCAUAGUUGCACCCUAUUGGAUAUGGUGCGUACCAUGAUGUCUCUUAUCAAAUUACCACUAUCGUUCAUGGGUUAGGCAUUAGAGACAACCACAUUCACUUUAAUAGGGCACCACAUAAUUCCAUUGAGAUGACACCGUAUGAACUAUGGUUUAGAGAAACCUAAGCUGUCGUUUCUUGAAAGUUUGGGGCUGUGACGCUUAUGUGAAAAAGUUUCAUCGUGGUAAGCUCGAACCCAAAGCGGAUAAAUACAUCUUCAUAGGACACCCAAAAACAGUUGGGUGCACCUCCUAAUUCAGACCCGGAAGCAAAAGUGAUUGUUUCUUGAACCGGGUCCUUUCUCAAGGAAAAGUUUAUCUUGAAAGAAUUGAGUGGGAGGAUGGUGGAGACUUGAUGAGGUUGUUGAACCAUCACUUCAACUAGUGUGUAGCAGGGCACAGGAAGUUGUUCCCGUGGCACCUACACCAAUUGAAGUAGAAGCUUAUGAUAGUGAUCAUGAAACUUCGGAUCAAGUCACUACCGAACCUCGUAGGUCAACAAGGAUGCAUACUGCUUCAAGGUGGUACGUAAUCUUGUCUUGGAGGUCAUGUUCCUAGACAACAAUGAACCUACGAGCUGUGGAGAAGCGAUGGGGGGCCUGGAUUCCGACGAAUGGCUCGAGGCCAUAAAAAUCCGAGAGAGGAUCCAUGUGAGAAAACAAAGUGUAGACUUUGGAAGAACUACUUGAUGGUCAUAAGGCUGUUGGGUACAGAUGGAUUUUAAAAGAAAGAUAGACAAUGAUGGUAAGUAUUACCAAUAAGAAAGCUCGGCUUGUCGUUAAGAUGUUUUCCGACAAGUUCAAGGAGUUGACUACGAUGAGACUUUCUCACUCGUAGCGAUGCUAAGAGUCUAUUGUAAUUAUGUUAGCAAUUACUGCAUGAUUUAUGAAAUAUUGCAGAUAGGAUGUCAAAAAACAUUGUUUCCUCGACGAUAUCCUUGAGGAAAGGUUGUAUGUGAUACAACCAGAAGGUUUUGUCAAUCCUGAAAGACACUAACAAGUAUGCAAAGCUCCAGCAAUCCUUCUAAGGACUGGAGUAAGCAUCUCGAAGUUGGAAUGUACGCUUUGAUGAGAUGAUCAAAGAUUUUGGGUUUAUGCAAAGUUUAAGAGAAACUUGUAUUUCCAAAGAAGUGAGUGGGAGCACUAUAGAAUUUCUGAUAAGUAUAUGUGAAUGACAUAUUGUUGAUCCGAAAUGAUGUAGAAUUUCUGGAAAGCAUAUAGGGUUAUUUGAAAAGUGUUUUUCAAUAGAAAACCUGAAUUAAGCUGCUUGAACAUUGAGCAUCAAGAUCUAUGAGGAUAGAUCAAAAACGUCAAAUGGUACUUUCAAAUGAGCACAUACCUUGACAUGAUCUUGAAGGUGUUCAAGAUGGACAGUCAAAGAAGGAGUUCUUGCCUGAGUUGUAAGGUAUGAAGUUAAGAGUUAAAGCUCGACCACAGCAGAAAAGAGAGAAAGGACGAAGGUCGUCCCCUAUGCUUCAGACGUAGGCUCUAUAGUAUGCUAUGCUGUGUACCGCACCGGAAGUGUGCCUUGCCAUGAGUUAGUCAAGGGGUACAAGAAUGAUCCAGGAACGGAUCAUUGGACAGCGGUCAAAAUUAUCCUUAGAGGAAUAAGGAAAUGUUUCUCGAUUAUGGAGGUGAUAAAGAGUUCGGCGUAAAGGGUUACGUCGAUGCAAGCUUUAACACCUAUCCGAAUGACUCUGAGUAGCAAACUGGAUACGUAUAGUGGAGCGACCAUUUGGAAUAGCUCCAAGUGGAGCGUGGAAGUAGCAUUUACAAUAUGCCCUAGAGAUUUGCAAAAUACAUACGGAUCUGAAUGUUGCAGACCCGUUGACUAAAACCACUCUCACAAGCAAAACAUGAUCAAACCCCAGAACUCAUUGAGUCUUAAUCACAUGAUGAUGUGAACUAGUUUAGUGACACUAGUAAACUCUUUGGAUGAUGGUCACAUGGCGAUGUGACCUAUCAGUUUUAAUCACAUGGCGAUGUGAACUAGAUUAUUGACUCUAGUGCAAGUGGGAGACUGUUGGAAAUAUGCCCUAGAGGAAAUAAUAAAUUAGUUAUUAUUAUUAUAUUUCCUUGUUCAUGAUAAUCGUUUAUUAUCCAUGCUAUAAUUGUAUUGAUAGGAAACUCAGAUACAUGUGUGGAUACAUAGACAACACCAUGUCCCUAGUAAGCCUCUAAUUGACUAGCUCGUUGAUCAAUAGAUGGUUACGGUUUCCUGACCAUCGACAUUGGAUGUCGUUGAUAACGGGAUCACAUCAUUAGGAGAAUGAUGUGAUGGACAAGACCCAAUCCUAAGCCUAGCACAAAGAUCGUGUAGUUCGUAUGCUAAAGCUUUUAUAAUGUCAAGUAUCAUUUCCUUAGACCAUGAGAUUGUGCAACUCCCGGAUACCGUAGGAAUGCUUUGUGUGUACCAAACGUCACAACGUAACUGGGUGUCUAUAAAGGUACGCUAAGGGUAUCUCCAAAAGUGUCUGUUGGGUUGGCACGAAUCGAGACUGGGAUUUGUCACUCCGGUUGACGGAGAGGUAUCUCUGGGCCCACUCGGUAGGACAUCAUCAUAAUGGGCACAAUGUGACCAAGGGGUUGAUCACGGGAUGAUGUGUUACGGAACAAGUAAAGAGACUUGCCGGUAACGAGAUAGAACAAGGUAUCGGCAUACCGACGAUCGAAUCUCGGGCAAGUAUAAUACUGCUAGACAAAGGGAAUUGUAUACGGGAUCGAUUGAGUCCUUGACAUCAUGGUUCAUCCGAUGAGAUCAUUGUGGAACAUGUGGGAGCCAACAUGGGGAUCCAGAUCCCGCUAUUGGUUAUUGACCGGAGAACGUCUCGGUCAUGUCUGCAUGGUUCUCGAACCCAUAGGGUCUACACACUUAAGGUUCGAUGACGCUAGGGUUAUAGGGAAUUGAUAUACGUGGUUACCAAAUGUUUUUUGGAGUCCCGGAUGAGAUCCCGGACGUCACGAGAAGUUCCGGAAUGGUCCGGAGGUAAAGAUUUAUAUAUGGGAAGUCAUGUUUUGGUCACCGGAAAAGUUUCGGGUUUUAUCGGUAACGUACCGGGACCACCGGGAGGAUCCCGGGGGUCCACCAAAGGGGGUCCACCAAGUGGGGCCACCGACCCCAGAGGGCAGCAUGGGCCAAAUGUGGGAGGGGACCAGCCCCAGGUGGGCUGGUGCGCCCCCCCCCCCACACACACAAGGGCCCAAGGCACCUAGGGUUUGGGGAGGGGGUGCUUCCACCUUACUUGGGGGACAAGUUUCCCCCUUCCCCCUCCCUUAGGCGCACCCUAGAUGGGGAUUGGGGCUGCUGCCACCCCUAGGGAGGGAACCCUAGGUGGGGGCGCAGCCCUCCCUCUCCCCCUAUAUAUAGUGGAGGCAAAGGGCAGCCCAACACACGAAGUUCUUCUCCUGUUGGCGCAGCCCUACCUCUCUUUCUCCUCCUCUCCCACGGUGGUUGGCGAAGCGCUGUAGGAUUGCCACGCUCCUCCACCACCACCACGCCGUUGUGCUGCUGCUGGAUGGAGUCUUCCUCAACCUCUCCCUCUCUCCUUGCUGGAUCAAGGCAUGGGAGAUGUCACCGGGCUGUACGUGUGUUGAACGCGGAGGUGCCGUCCGUUCGGCACUAGGAUCUCCGGUGAUUUGGAUCACGAUGAGUACGACUCCUUCAACCCCAUUCUCUUGAACGCUUCCGCUUAGCGAUCUACAAGGGUAUGUAGAUGCACACUCCUCUCUCUCAUUGCUAGUUUCUCCAUAGAUAGAUCUUGGUAACUCAUAGGAAAAUUUUUUAUUUCUGCUACGUUCCCCAACACCAAACCCCCUGUUAUUCUGCGGCGACGAUAGCCUCACAUCGCAGCCGAACGAGUGAACCCUCAUACUCCUCUAUGCGUGGGCAUCCACUGCCGCAUCUUCCUCGGCUCCACGUCGUCCCCUUCCUAGGCCUCGCCGUCGUCCACCACCGUGGUGCUCUCGGCGCAGCGUGGUCAGUGUGGUCAACGACCGACUUCCAUCGGAAGAGUACUAUACGUGGAGAGGCUGACAACUGGGUCCACGACAGCCACAAGGAAGUGCCUCCUUAUUACGCGCAAAAUAAUUAUUCCUCCACCUGACAGAAGGGACCCACCGGACGGGCCACCGUAUUUUAUGAGAAAACGUUUCCCCCCUGACUGCUAGGACCCACCAGCUACACCUUCGCACGCAAGGAAGUGCGUCCGGGCAAAAAAAAAUGAUUCGCCCCCUGACUGCUGGGACCCACCAGCUACAUCUUCGCACACAAGGAAGUGCCUGAUAGUCGGGACCCACCUGAUCGAAGCGAACGUAGCGUUGUCAUUCUGGUCGCGAACAUGUAUGUACAUAUAUACUGGUGGAUGUAGAGGCGCGCACGUGUCGAUGUAGAGGCACACACGUAGCAUGUACACGUACGUACAACGGCCAGUGUGCAAGAAAGAAAAUACGGCCACAUAUGUCUACAUACGGGCGGGGUCUCGAACGCCUACUCGCGCAUAUGUACGGCUAGGGCUCGUGUACAUGUCUAGGUCGGAACAGAGAAACAUCAUUGUCGUCGUGUUCAUGGGGAGGCAACGAAAUGCGUCGUGUUCAUGGGGAGGCAACAGAAUGUGUCGUGUUCAUCGGGAGGCAACGGAACGCGUGGGAGCCAACCGGCUUGUACGGAACAAGCAAUGGAAACGAGGCCUGGCGCACCGCAAAAUGGAGGAAACGGCCUUGUGUUUGACCGGCCACGUUCGAAACGGGAUCCUGUUCAUCGGGAGGGGUCUGGCGUACCGCAAAACGGAGGAAACGGACCUCCUACGGUCGAAACGGGGGUCCUGUUGAUCGGGAGGGGUGUGGCGUACCGCAAAACGGACGAAACAAGGGUCCUGUUGAUCGGGAGGGGUGUGGCGUACCGCAAAACGGACGAAACAGACUUGUGUUGGAGUGCUACGGUCGAAAUGGGGGUCCUGUUCAUCGGGACGGGUGUGGCGUACCGCAAAACGGGACUCCACGAGAUACUGUUCAUCUCCAGNNNNNNNNNNNNNNNNNNNNNNNNNNNNNNNNNNNNNNNNNNNNNNNNNNNNNNNNNNNNNNNNNNNNNNNNNNNNNNNNNNNNNNNNNNNNNNNNNNNNNNNNNNNNNNNNNNNNNNNNNNNNNNNNNNNNNNNNNNNNNNNNNNNNNNNNNNNNNNNNNNNNNNNNNNNNNNNNNNNNNGCAACGCUCACUGUUCAUCCCAGAGGCAGCAUCGAUCGGCUUCAGUUAGCAGCAGUAGCGAAGGAAUCGGUCGACCGGGUUCAGUUAAUAGCCAUCGAUCGAUCGCUCGGGUUCAGUAACGCGUAGCCUGCAGUGCAAUCGCUCGGGUUCAGUUAGAGCCCAACGCCUCGCUCGGGUUCAGUUAGAGCAAACGCCUCGCACACACGCGCGUACGUGUACGAGAGAAACGUGCAUCGCUCGGCCCCCGACCUCCCACCGUAACCGGGAACUCCCCGAAAUUUUCCUCGCCAUCGCUUCUACCACGGUUUUUUCCGUCAUAGACGGCCCAAAGAAUGUCAUGCAGCUGCGUCUCCGGCCCGCCCAGGACGAAAAGCCCAUUUUCUGUCAUGAUUUUUUGUCAUAGAAGUAGGAGCCCACCACAUCUAUGAUGAUAGUUUUGUCACAAUUAUCGUCAUAGAAGUGUCAUAUGCAUGACAGAAAAAAGUUUCGUUCGGCCCAAAAUGUCACAGAUGUGUCUUUUUUGUAGUGAUGCCAUUUGCUUAUUUUCGGUUGCGCUUCUCCUUGACCGGUUACGUAGCGAUUGUGAGGAUCCGUUCGACUAUGUUGGUUCGUCUUCUUCAUGGACUUCGAUCUUCUUCCUAGCGGGAUUUCAGGCAAGAUGACCGUUACUCUGGAUCUCACUACUAUCUUUGCUAUGCUAGUUGUCUCGAUGCUAUCGCUAUGUCGUGCUACCUACCACUCGUUUAUCAAGCUUCCCAAAUUGCCAUGAUAGCCUCUAACCUUUUCCACCGUCCUAGCAAACCGUUGUUUAGCUAUGCUACCGCUUUGCUCAGCCCCUCUUAUAGCGUUGCUAGUUGCAGGUGCAGUUGCAGGUUGUUCCAUGUUGGGACAUGGAUAACAUGGGAUAUCACAAUAUCUCUUAUUUAAUUAAUGCAUCUAUAUACUUGGUAAAGGGUGGAUGGCUCGGCCUUUUGCCUGGUGUUUUAUUCCACUCUUGGCGCCUAGUUUCCGUCAUACCGGUGUUAUGUUCCUUAAUUUUGCGUCCCUAACACGAUGAGGGUUUAUGGGCCCCUCUUGACAGUUCGCUUUGAAUAAAACUCUUCCAACAAGGCCCAACAUUGGUUUAUCAUUUUCCUAAUAAUAACUAAAACUUGCAUAGGGACCCGCCGGCACCCGAGGUCUCUUAAUCAACCCCCCGGGCUAGUACUGCUCAUGAGUGUUGGUCCACCUACCUAGCAGUUGGCGGUGCCACCUCGGGGCAACUCGAUGGUAUUUUGUCUACCAUCCAUUUUGCAUAGAUGGUGUUGUCCUGAGAACGAGAUACGUGCAGAUCCUAUCGGGGUAUCGACACACCGUGUGGUCUUGCUGGUUUUGUUUUACCAUCAUCGAAAUGACAUGUGCACCAAGAUCCCGAGUUUGAUCGGAUGUCCCGCGAUGGAGGAUUGUCUCCACGGAUCAUGAGCUUGUCAUGGGCUAAGUUGGGACACCCCUGCAGGGUUUAAACUUUUGAGAGAUGUGCCCGUGGUUAUGUGGCAGAUGGGAAUUUGUUAAUAUCCGGUUGUAGUGGACUUGAACUAAACUCAAUUAAAAUACACCAACCACAUGCAUAACCCUGCCUGUCUCUUUUCGAGUGCGUUCGAGAAGAGAACACGGUUGGGUUAUGAUUGAACGUAAGUAGUUCAGGAUCGCUUCUUGAUCAUUACUAGUUUGCGACCGUUUGUGUAGUUUCUCAUCUUAUUCUUGUACUCGUAAGUUAGCCAUCAUACAAUGCUUAGUGCUUGCUGCAACCUCACCACUUAUCCGUUCCAUACCCAUUAAGCUUUGCUAGUCUUGAUACUCAUGGUAAUGGGAUUGCUGAGUCCUCGUGGCUCACAGAUUACCACAACAACAGUUGCAGGUACAGGUAAUGCGAUGAUCAUGACGUGAGAGCGAUGUUUGCUUGCUUUUGGAGAUCUUCUUCGUUCAAGGGAUAGGUUCCGGGUCAGGGAGCCUGGGAUUAGAAGGGUGGAUGUCGUUCUUCUUUUUUGUUUGAUUUCAUCCGUAGUUGGAUCCUGCUCUUAUGUAUGAUGAUUGCUAUGUAUUGAUGAACUGUUGUAUUCAUGUUGUAGCUUGUGGCGAGUGUAAGCCUUUAUCUUGUAUUCUCAUCUAUUCGGUACAUGGUAUGUUGUAAUGAUAUCCACCUUGCUAUGCGCUCGAAAUGCGGUUGUGCCCCAAACAUGAAUUCAUCACGUGAUUGGGAUAGAAUCGCAUCUUGGACGCUACAACUAAUGAGUUGGUUGUGCCUAGUGAGAUCCUAUAGUCCAAAUGGCACCGCAAGAAUGGGGACAUGAGUGAGCAAGUCAAAAUCAGAUGGACUGGCGUCUCUAACCUGGACAACAUCUGGGAAGAUCGGCAAGCAUUGCAGGCUCGCUUUCCCCAUGCAGCGGCUUAGGGUCAAGCCGCCACUCAAGGAGGAGGGGAUGUUAGCGACCCUGACAGUCUGGACCCGCUGGCCAGCAAGGACCAGGAGGAGGCACGGCCCAGCCGCGCCAAGAAGCCCAACCCAAGGUACACAGGCCCAAAAUGGGCCACGGCAAGCCGCCACUCUACUUAACCCUGGAGCGACGACAGGAGCAGUAUCCAGUGGAUCACCAGACGACCUGGCGGCAGCUACCUACUACCUUUUCCCCGAACCCUAGUUCUUCCAUGUUCUUCCCCAUUCGAGCAUCGCUCCUGUAAUCGAUUGUAAUAGCUACUACUUCGGAGAGCAACAAUAGAUCGAUCCCUCUAUCCUGAGCCUCUCAAUCAACGCACACGGACGUGGCGGACACAAGCCCCAACGCGCCAACCUCGUAUCCCAGGGUUCACUCCAACGAGAGAUCACGAUCGAGACUGAUGCUGGUCUAUCAAGCAAAGUUUACUGCUAGGGGUCACUACACUUCACCCGGUGCGUGUGUGGGGGAUUUGGAACGAGGGAUGAGGAGAUUCUUAAUUUGAUCUCGUUUCUUUCAUGUGCAUUGUGGUGAUUAAACGGCCGGACGCAUGCAGUUUGAUUAAUGAAUUCAUUAUUGCUUCCCUUAUAUGCUAGUGCUGGCGUAGCUAGUUUUUGUCGUUGGAGAGAAUAAUCAAACUGUCGAGGGAUAGGCACGCAACGGUCAGGAGACAGACAGCAUAGGGCAUGUCACUAAGAGAGCAUGUACAUCCGUGCGCCCUAAAUCCGUCUCAAACGUUCAGAUGGAUGGCCCGGUCAGUAAUCGAUCACAAAAUACGCAUCCAAACGGGCUUCUCAAUUGUGUCUCUAAUUUCCAAGCUGAUUGACACCUCUCAUAUCCAGCCCAAAUCUAGGGCGGAUUGGGGGCGCCCGGGAGCGUACGCCAGACUCAUAAAGGGGUCCCACACGGGAUCGUUGGAAACCUGGCGGUCCGACGGACGUCUCCUCCGAUGGGUGGGGGGGUGAACGCCACGUGGCCCUGCUCCAGCUCGCCGCUGAAGGCCAAAUUCGGCUAUUUAAGCCGGCCUUCCCCAACCCUAGCCACAACCACCUCGUCCCUCUCUGCCCCGCCAGCCCGAGCCCAUCCACCUUUCUACCGCUCAGCCGCUCUUCCCACGCCCUCCAGCUUUGACAUGGUUCGGCAAAAGAAGACCACGUAUGCUAUGCUCACACUGAAGCGACAGUUCCAGAUUGAGCAGGAUAUCUGGGUGAGGCACGCCGCCCGCAUCGCUGCCGGCCUACCUAUGGACUCGCCGGAGCCGGAGGAGGAAGAGGAAGAGGAGCAGCAGCCGGCUCCGAUGAAGGUAGCGGAUCCGGAGGAGGAUGAGGCGGAGCAGACGGAGGAGGAGUUGGUGCUGGCUCUAGGCUUCAACAUGGAGGACCCGAAGGUGGAGUUUGCGGGCGCCUAAGCGGCCAAGAUGGAUGAGCAGCAUGCCAUCCCGGAGUCCGUCCAAGUGAGGCUUAUGUGGAGAUCAACUGGUAAGAACUGGCGGCGAUAACGCGCUCUUCGAUGAGGUGGAAGCGGAGAUGGAGGCGGAGGCCAGCGUGAAGAGCCGAAGGAGCUAGAGCUGCGGCUGUCGCUCAUGUACCCGGAGCCAGGCAUAGAGAUAGUGUACAUCUCCAACGAGGAUUAGGGUAUGGUUUUAGUUGAUCUACGUAGCACGUGGAUUUCGUCGUUUGCAUGGUUUUCUACGGAUCUAAGGUUUGUAGUAUGAGGUAUCCGAAUAUAGAGAAACAAAUUUAAGACGUGAUCGUAUACGGCGGGCGUAUUCGCCGAUGUUUAAGGGGUCGGAUUUGCUGUCUGCGCUGGUAAGAUGCUCCAACUAUAACGGUGCUCUAGUUUGUCUGUCUGCCUGGCGUUGUUCUAAAGCAGAAACUGGAGCGUGGUAAUUUCGAAAAAGCAGAAGAUAGUGGCUGCUACUGGAUCCAACUGAGUAGCAGUUUACCUAGAAGCAGAGGCACGUCCCUUCCUCGUCCGUGCGAGAUUAGCUGCACGCCCCGCAGUUUUUCCUAGAAGCAGCAGAGCCACAUCCCUUCCUCGUCGGACAGAGUUGACCGGUCAGAGGGAAUGCCCAUGGCACUGGCAGCACAUCAUCUCCAUCCGGCAGCCGCCGGGGAAUAUACACGCCGAGUCCAUGCGGCCGCACGCACCGAUCAUGAACAUUCUCGAUCUCGUCAGAUCAGCCAUGCAUGUGCAAACAGAAACUAUGGGAGCACACAUGGUUUCAGGAGCCCCGUCGCAUGCGCGCACGCACAUCACACCAUCCGUCAUUGCUCAUGGCUGACGACAUACGGCCGCUGAAUUACCCUGUAAGAUUUGUUAGGAAGCGUUGAACCCUUUGCUCGGGCCACAUGUAUAUUUAUAAAAGGAUUGUCGUGGUUUACAAGGUUUGAAAUAUCGCUAGGAUUCUUUCAGAGUACAUCGAGAGAUAUAUGACUUGAGGAGAAAGACUAGAACAGAAGAAGAGAUAGAAUCAGAAAAUAUUUUAAACAGCUAUCUCUACGAACUCUAUUCUAACAUCCUCCCUCAAUCCAAACCUAUGAAAAUUUCUCUAGGUUUAGAUUGUACUUGAACUCAUUCAAUCUCCUCGUAGUAAGUGGUUUGGUGAAGCCAUCAGCAAGUUGAUCUCCUGUGGGAAUAAACUUGAUGUCAAGUAGCUUUCGUGCUACUCUUUCUCUCACAAAAUGAAAAUCAACCUCCAUGUGUUUUGUACGUGCAUGGAACACAGGAUUUGCUGAAAGAUAAGUUGCACCAAUAUUAUCACACCAUAACCUUGCAGCUUGUGGAGUCUUGAUUCCCAACUCAUACAAAAGAAUCUGAAUCCACAUAACUUCGGCAGUUGCAUUGGCAAGGGCUUUGUAUUCUGCUUCAAUACUUGACCUUGACACAGUAGCUUGUUUCCUUGCACUCCAUGACACAAGGUUUGAUCCCAGAAAUACAACAAAACCACCUGUUGACCUUCUAUCAUCAGGACACCCUGCCCAGUCAGCAUCCGAAUAUGCACUAACUAGCAUGGAUGGCGAUUUAACAAUCUUGAUUCCAAGUCCCAUUGUAAACUUUAGAUACCUUAGAAUUCUCUUUACUGCAGUCCAAUGAACUGUACUUGGUGCAUGCAAAAACUGACACACUUUGUUGACAGAAUAUGAAAUAUCAGGCCUAGUCAACGUUAAAUAUUGUAGAGCACCAACAACACUCCUAUAGUUUGUUGCAUCACUCGGUCCAAGUAAUUCACCUCCUUCAACUAUAAGUUUCUCAAAAGUAGAAAGUGGUGUACUUACUGGUUUGCAAUGUUCCAGUCCUACCCUCUUUAUAAUAUAUGUAAUACACGUACAUGAAUCAUAUUACCCAUAGCACCGGCCUGAACACAAAAAAUUCGGUGAGACCUUUCAUGCUAUUUUCUAGUCCAAAAAACAGAGUAGUCGUACUGAUCUGAGUGCGGGUUUGAACUGACGUUGUUGUACUUGAUUUUGCCGUCACAAAGUGCUAAAAAAAUCAUUGAACUUGUUUUUUUAUCCUUUGAAUUUUUGUGUUGUGUACUUUUCUGGUUGUAAUGCGUGAACUUAAAGGUGGUUUCUUAUUGUAAUUAAACUUUGACCAUAUUUAAAACUUAUGUGUUUUUCCCGAACUUAUUUGGUACGUCAUGUUGAACUUAUUAGUUAUUUUAUUAAUCAUGAAUCUCUCGCGUUUCCUCUUUAAGUUGCUUUUUUCCUUCAACUAUACUGCUAUAACAUUUUCUUUCUCGAACUUACUGUGUCUCAAGUAAGGACUGAUGCUAUGUUUUUUUGAACUGGUAUCAAAUUUCUCAAUGGACAUAUUGAACUUUUUCUGCGUUUCAUUUAUGUGUUGAUGAUAUAACACCUGUUGAACUGCUACACCAUAGCUAAAAAUCUAUCCAUGUGAACUAUUUACUUUUUUCAAUUAACUUUUAUCAAUCAACAUACAUCAUUUUCCUUCCUGUUCAUACACGUAUUGCAGACAUUACAUACACAUACACAGCUCCAUGAUCAUACACAAUUUUCUCCUGUAGCUUCUCCUCGCUUCCCUUAACACAAACAAUCAUUUGGAGAGAAAAGCACAAUGGUUUUAGAUACAAAAAUCACCCCCACAUGAUAAUAUUGUAAAUACUAUCCUUAAAAGAAAGCAUGAAGAAUGCAAAAGUUCAUGGUAGAACCAAACCUAAUUAGGAAGGCUCGUCGAUCUCUUCAGGUAUUCAUCCCUCUUAGUAUUAUCAGAUUCAGCUUGAAUCAUGUGACCAACCUGAAUAGUGAGCACAAAGGCACAAAUAAUAUCAGAUUGGCUUGAAUCAUG